RNAcentral lists this ribosomal RNA (501 nucleotides) under Erysiphe sedi. Its description in RNAcentral is "partial large subunit ribosomal RNA". It matches the Rfam family "Eukaryotic large subunit ribosomal RNA", at positions 120 to 633 of the family's 3401-position model. Lineage: Eukaryota; Fungi; Ascomycota; Leotiomycetes; Helotiales; Erysiphaceae. The record is from RNAcentral.
AUCUGGCUCCUUCGGAGUCCGAGUUGUAAUUUGUAGAAGAUGCUUUGGGUUGUGGGCUCGGCCUAAGUUCCUUGGAACAGGACGUCAUAGAGGGUGAGAAUCCCGUAUGUGGCCAUGGCCCGCGCCUAUGUAAAGCUCUUUCGACGAGUCGAGUUGUUUGGGAAUGCAGCUCAAAAUGGGUGGUAAAUUUCAUCUAAAGCUAAAUAUGGGCCAGAGACCGAUAGCGCACAAGUAGAGUGAUCGAAAGAUGAAAAGCACUUUGGAAAGAGAGUUAAACAGUACGUGAAAUUGUUGAAAGGGAAGCGCUUGCAACCAGACUUGGGCGCUGCCGAUCACCCCGAGUUCUCUCGGGUGCACUCGACAGCGCACAGGCCAGCAUCGGUUCGGGUGGCUGGAUAAAGGCCGUAGGAAUGUAGCUCUCUUCGGGGAGUGUUAUAGCCCACGGUGCCAUGCAGCCCAGCCGGACCGAGGACCGCGCCUUCGGGCUAGGAUGCUGGCGUA